This 253-nucleotide ribosomal RNA is filed under the name uncultured bacterium. Its description in RNAcentral is "partial 16S ribosomal RNA". It matches the Rfam family "Bacterial small subunit ribosomal RNA", at positions 524 to 776 of the family's 1533-position model. The record is from RNAcentral.
UACGGGGGGGGCAAGCGUUGUUCGGAAUUACUGGGCGUAAAGGGCUCGUAGGCGGCCAACUAAGUCAGACGUGAAAUCCCUCGGCUUAACCGGGGAACUGCGUCUGAUACUGGAUGGCUUGAGUUCGGGAGAGGGAUGCGGAAUUCCAGGUGUAGCGGUGAAAUGCGUAGAUAUCUGGAGGAACACCGGUGGCGAAGGCGGCACGCUGGACCUCUUCUGACGCUGAGGCGCGAAAGCCAGGGGAGCAAACGGG